This 556-nucleotide long non-coding RNA is filed under the name Fragaria vesca (wild strawberry). RNAcentral's name for it is "long non-coding RNA (FVES_LNC004494)". Lineage: Eukaryota; Viridiplantae; Streptophyta; Magnoliopsida; Rosales; Rosaceae. The record is from RNAcentral.
CUACAUCAUGAAAUCCAAACAAUGAAAUUCUCAAUUAAUAGGAUUUAAAUUCAUGGAAUUGUAUUUUGAAAUUUCUAUGGACACAUCAUGAAAUUCAAACAAUGGAAUUCUCAAUUAAUAGGAUUUAAAUUCAUGACAUUGUAAUUCCCAUAAUUUUAAAAUUUCUAUGGACAUUAAAAUUACUUUAUCCAAAAACAACGUUAUGAAGCUGGUCAAUGGGUUAAUUGAUUGAUAUAAAUGUUUCUGAUAUGUACUUCAUAGAAUGUUAUACAUGCAAAUUAUACUCAGCUGUUAUACUGAUUAUAUAUCUAGAGUUAAUGACAAUAUUGUGGUUUCUUAAAAAUAACAGGGGCAAAAUGGUCAAUAUAUCCGCUUCUUAGCACGGUGUAGUAUCUACAUUAUGUAUAUUUCACAUAUGUAUAAGAGUUAUCACAAAAACAACUUUUAUAUAACAAAAUAUCUAGUCUUGUAUUCUACCCAAAAUAUAAAUGCUCCAAUUGUUUUUAGAGUAAUUUUAAAUACACACCCCUAAUAUCUUAAUACACACCCCUUACUU